RNAcentral lists this ribosomal RNA (384 nucleotides) under uncultured bacterium. RNAcentral's name for it is "bacterial SSU rRNA". It matches the Rfam family "Bacterial small subunit ribosomal RNA", at positions 30 to 419 of the family's 1533-position model. The record is from RNAcentral.
UGAACGCUGGCGGCAGGCUUAACACAUGCAAGUCGAGCGGUAGCAGGCCUUCGGUGCUGACGAGCGGCGAACGGGUGAGUAACGCGUAGGAAUCUGCCUGAUAGAGGGGGAUAGCCCGGGGAAACUCGGAUUAAUACCGCAUACGCCCUACGGGGAAAGGACAGGGGAGUCUUCGGACCUUGCGCUAUCAGAUGAGCCUGCGUCGGAUUAGCUAGUUGGCGGGGUAAAGGCCACCAAGGCGACGAUCGGUAGCUGGUCUGAGAGGAUGAUCAGCCACACUGGAACUGAGACACGGUCCAGACUCCUACGGGAGGCAGCAGUGGGGAAUAUUGGACAAUGGGCGCAAGCCUGAUCCAGCCAUGCCGCGUGUGUGAGAAGGCCUGG